Non-coding RNA from Physcomitrium patens, 1145 nucleotides. Lineage: Eukaryota; Viridiplantae; Streptophyta; Bryopsida; Funariales; Funariaceae. The record is from RefSeq and is a predicted model, not a curated record.
UGAUCUGUGACAUUCAUAUUUAUUCGAAGUCGACGAAGUUGAUCAGUACAUUUUCACACGCACACACACACACAGAUCUAUAACUAUCUGUGAAAUCGAUGAAGGAAAUGACCAGUAGCAAUGUGUGAUCAGCGGCGCCGUUUCAGACCCCGGGGAGAGCAAGCCGGGAGUUGAACAGUACACAUAGAUCGAUAUUGAGAUGACUAGCAGGACCCGGUGUAUCCGUCCGACACAUGUGUGCAUCAAUACCAGCGGUACUGAUGAAUCCUGCAUGCUGGAGUUAGAAAUCCGUAUACCCCCUCCUCCAUUGACCAUUCGCCGUGGACAAUCCCCACUUUGCAAUCAGUGGACCGCGCCUUCUGUCAGACGCCGAUCCUUUGGUGGCGUCGUGGAUGAGGUGGGACUGCACCGUGACGGCGUGCUAUCGUUUUCAGGGUCGUCUAACUCUGCUGGGUGCACCAUCAUCUCGUCACAACCACGCCUAUGCGUCGAAUGCUGCAACUUCAGUGAAAAUGGUUAAUAAGCACGUUGGAAGCUUCUGAAAGUUGUGCAGUUUGUGAUACAACCUUCGUAAAUGGUUUCGGAGUCAUCGGUCGUGGGAUCAGGAAGCACCCCGACAUCCACACACGAUCACAUCGAAACCUAAUCAUGAAUCGUCAGAAGCAAUGUCUGCUUGUUGUCGACCGAUUUGCCUCAUUCGUCGCUGGCGGCAGGGCAGCGGAUCAGGCUUCGUGGAGAUGAGGAUAUGGAGAACAGCGUGCGUGGAUUUUGUAGCACGAACGUGAUUGCAGUGAAAACUGAUACGUCUAAUCCAGAAACAUUACGUGGAUUCACGACGACGUCGUGGGUUCGUGUUUCCUAGGACUUCGCAUUCGCAUUAGUCCACUACUCUGCAAACUUGAGUUUGAACGGCAUCGUCGUGACAUACACCCUGAAGAUUCAUGAAAGAUGGGUGGUUUGCUUUGAAAGGGUGAAUGUGUUGCUUAUGUUUCGAGAAUGAAGGCGGCUCAACGAAGAAAAGCUCACUCUAGACCCUCUUUUUGUGUUGCAGAACUGUAAGUUUUCUGAAAAGUCGGUAUCACAAUUCGGUGAACCUUAUUAUUCUGUAACUAUUAAGUUCUUUAAUGUUAAUUUUGGUUCUUUGA